CUUUACCUGAUAGUCCUACAUCUUGUUUUUGCAGGGAUGCUCUGCCAUGCAAAUUCCCUCCUGUUGAUGUCCUAUUUAGUAAACAGUAAGAGAUUCUGGAAACUUAGACAGAAGACAUUUCAACUUCGGCAGUGGUUAAGAGAAGAACAGUCAAUUCAUGAGAGAGGAUGGGUGAGUGCUUCUGUGAUAAAUUGGAAUGAAAUACGAAGCAGCUGGAUCCAGACUGACAGCUCCAAGUCAAUGAGCAGCCAGCGUAAGGUGAUUCUUCAAGCGUGCAGCACCAGGACCCUCUGAGGGAAAUAAGAAGAGACGACGCUGUCAAGCUGCUUGUUGAUGAAUGAACACACAAACAUGAAAAGUAAGAUUGAGACGUGGAUGGUGCCGUUUAAAGAAUGAACACGGACGCAUUGGCUGACAAA
Long non-coding RNA from Micropterus dolomieu (smallmouth bass), 419 nucleotides. RefSeq lists it as uncharacterized. The transcript is spliced from 3 exons. The record is from RefSeq and is a predicted model, not a curated record. Lineage: Eukaryota; Metazoa; Chordata; Actinopteri; Centrarchiformes; Centrarchidae.